RNAcentral lists this ribosomal RNA (291 nucleotides) under uncultured microorganism. RNAcentral describes it as "partial 16S ribosomal RNA". It matches the Rfam family "Bacterial small subunit ribosomal RNA", at positions 505 to 796 of the family's 1533-position model. The record is from RNAcentral.
GUGCCAGCAGCCGCGGUAAUACGGAGGGGGCUAGCGUUGUUCGGAAUUACUGGGCGUAAAGCGCACGUAGGCGGCUUUGUAAGUUAGAGGUGAAAGCCUGGAGCUCAACUCCAGAACUGCCUUUAAGACUGCAUCGCUUGAAUCCAGGAGAGGUGAGUGGAAUUCCGAGUGUAGAGGUGAAAUUCGUAGAUAUUCGGAAGAACACCAGUGGCGAAAGCGGCUCACUGGACUGGUAUUGACGCUGAGUGCGAAAGCGUGGGGAGCAAAUGCGAUUAGAUACCCUGGUAGUCC